CCAACAGGGAUUCCCUUAGUAAGUGCGACUGAAACGGGAUCAGCCCAGCGCAUAAUCUCGUUCGAGAGGUGUUGCGUUUCGGAAGGCCUCAACCGCUGUCCAACCGCUAAGUUGCACUUGAAAGUGACCACUAACCAUGGAGGGUGAUAGUCCCGUGUGGCGGCACGUCGAAAGGGGGCACAGGGGCGGCGGCGUGGACCUUCCGUAGAGUCGGGUUGCUUGAAAGUGCAGCCCUAAGCAGGUGGUAAACUCCAUCUAAGGCUAAAUACUCCCACGAGA
This 279-nucleotide ribosomal RNA is filed under the name Areopaguristes pilosus. RNAcentral describes it as "partial 28S ribosomal RNA". It matches the Rfam family "Eukaryotic large subunit ribosomal RNA", at positions 65 to 333 of the family's 3401-position model. Lineage: Eukaryota; Metazoa; Arthropoda; Malacostraca; Decapoda; Diogenidae. The record is from RNAcentral.